This 298-nucleotide unclassified non-coding RNA is filed under the name Hevea brasiliensis (rubber tree). The record is from RNAcentral. Lineage: Eukaryota; Viridiplantae; Streptophyta; Magnoliopsida; Malpighiales; Euphorbiaceae.
GCCGCCGCCACCGUAGCCUCCGCCUCCGCCGCGCUGGCCGUAGCCGCCUCCGCCUCCGCCUCCGGAGCGGCGCGACUGGGCCUCGUUGACGGUGAUGUUGCGGCCGUCGAGCUCCUUGCCGUUCAUCCCCUCGAUGGCGUCGCGCAUGGCCUGCUCGCUCGAGAACGUCACGAACCCGAACCCGCGCGACCUCCCCGUCUCCCGAUCGUUGAUGAUCUUGGACUCGAGGAUCUCGCCGAAGGUGGAGAAGGCGGCUUCGAGGGAGCGGUCGUCGGUGGCCCAGGCGAGGCCGCCGACG